This 418-nucleotide long non-coding RNA is filed under the name Sorghum bicolor (sorghum). RNAcentral describes it as "long non-coding RNA (SBIC_LNC004023)". Lineage: Eukaryota; Viridiplantae; Streptophyta; Magnoliopsida; Poales; Poaceae. The record is from RNAcentral.
CGGCUGCGACGAGUUCCGCAUGUACGAGUUCAAGGUCCGCCGUUGCGCCCGCGCGCGCAGCCACGACUGGACCGAGUGCCCCUUCGCGCACCCGGGGGAGAAGGCCCGCCGCCGCGACCCGCGCAAGUACCACUACUCCGGCACCGCCUGCCCGGACUUCCGCAAGGGCGGGUGCAAGCGCGGCGACAACUGCGACUUCGCGCACGGCGUCUUCGAGUGCUGGCUCCACCCGGCGCGCUACCGCACCCAGCCCUGCAAGGACGGCACCGCCUGCCGCCGCCGGGUCUGCUUCUUCGCCCACACCCCGGACCAGCUGCGGGUGCUGCCCACCACGCAGCAUCAGCAGUCCAGCCCCCGCGGCGCCGCGGCGUGCUCCCCGCUCGCCGACUCCUACGACGGCUCCCCGCUGCGGCGCCAG